Molecule: ribosomal RNA, 225 nt
Filed under: uncultured Acinetobacter sp.
Lineage: Bacteria; Pseudomonadati; Pseudomonadota; Gammaproteobacteria; Moraxellales; Moraxellaceae
Description: partial 16S ribosomal RNA
Rfam family: Bacterial small subunit ribosomal RNA
Source: RNAcentral
CGCGUAGGUGGCUAAUUAAGUCAAAUGUGAAAUCCCCGAGCUUAACAUGGGAAUUGCAUUUGAUACUGGGGAGCUAGAGUAUGGGAGAGGAUGGUAGAAUUCCAGGUGUAGCGGUGAAAUGCGUAGAGAUCUGGAGGAAUACCGAUGGCGAAGGCAGCCAUCUGGCCUAAUACUGACGCUGAGGUACGAAAGCAUGGGGAGCAAACAGGAUUAGAUACCCUCGUA